CCUACGGGAGGCUGCAGUGGGGAAUAUUGGGCAAUGGAGGAAACUCUGACCCAGCAACGCCGCGUGAAUGAUGAAGGUCUUCGGAUUGUAAAGUUCUUUUCUAAGGGAAGAAGAAUGUGACGGUACUUUAGCACUAAGCCUCGGCUAACUACGUGCUAGCAGCCGCGGCAAUACGUAGGAGGCGAGCGUUAUCAGGAAUGACUGGGCGUAAGGGGUGCGUAGGUGGUUUGGCAAGUUAGUAGCGUAACUCCAAGGCUCAACCUUGGAACUACUACUAAAACUGUUGGACUUGAGUGCAGGAGGGGCAACCGGAAUUCCUAGUGUAGCGGUGGAAUGCGUAGAUAUUAGGAGGAACACCAGUGGCGAAGGCGGGUUGCUAGACUGUAACUGACACUGAGGCACGAAGGCGAGGGGAGCAAACAGGAUUAGAUACCCCAGUAGUC
Molecule: ribosomal RNA, 443 nt
Filed under: uncultured bacterium
Lineage: Bacteria
Description: partial 16S ribosomal RNA
Rfam family: Bacterial small subunit ribosomal RNA
Source: RNAcentral